This 252-nucleotide ribosomal RNA is filed under the name uncultured bacterium. RNAcentral describes it as "partial 16S ribosomal RNA". It matches the Rfam family "Bacterial small subunit ribosomal RNA", at positions 524 to 776 of the family's 1533-position model. The record is from RNAcentral.
UACGUAGGGGGCAAGCGUUAUCCGGAAUCACUGGGCGUAAAGGGAGCGUAGGCGGUUUGACAAGCCAGAGGUGAAAGGCAAUAGCUUAACUAUUGUAAGCCUUUGGAACUGUCAGACUUGAGUGCAGGAGAGGAAAGUGGAAUUCCUAGUGUAGCGGUGAAAUGCGUAGAUAUUAGGAGGAACACCAGUGGCGAAGGCGACUUUCUGGACUGUAACUGACGCUGAGGCUCGAAAGCGUGGGGAGCGAACAGG